Arvicola amphibius (Eurasian water vole) is the source of this 159-nucleotide small nuclear RNA. RefSeq annotates it as U1 spliceosomal RNA. The record is from RefSeq and is a predicted model, not a curated record. The transcript has a single exon. NCBI's taxonomy places the organism in Eukaryota, Metazoa, Chordata, Mammalia, Rodentia, Cricetidae.
AUAUUCCCCAGAAAUGAAGAUCCCAUGAUCAUGAAGGUGAUUUCUCAGGGCAAGGCUCACCAAUUGUAAUAUAGAUGUACUGACCCCUGUGAUUCGCUCAAAUGUGGGAAAUCUAAUUACAGAAUUUGAGAAAGUGAAAGACCAUAUUUACCUCUUCCC